RNAcentral lists this long non-coding RNA (1263 nucleotides) under Homo sapiens (human). Its description in RNAcentral is "OIP5 antisense RNA 1". Lineage: Eukaryota; Metazoa; Chordata; Mammalia; Primates; Hominidae. The record is from RNAcentral.
GAAGCUGCGAAGAUGGCGGAGUAAGGCGUGCCGCUGCAAACUGGCCUCUGGGCCGGGGGCGAGCAGCCCCCGGGAGGCCGAGUGCAUCUGUUGGACCGUGCGAGGAGAAGAAAAAAAAUAUCGGCCAGAGGAGAGGAACUAACCGAACAUUCUUCCUCCCUACCUUAUAGAGGGGAGUGGUCAUCUACACUAAAGCAAAGUGUUAGGCGCGUCCGUGCGAAGAGACCACCAAACAGGCUUUGUGUUCCUUAUCACAGGAAGAAAAUUUUCCUUGACCUUUAGGUGCUUUUAUAUUCAUCUCAAAAACAAAAUUCUGAACUCAGGACUUGGCAAAUGGAGUUUUGCCAUGUUGGCCAGGCUGGUCUCCAACUCCUGACCUCAGGUGAUCCACCCCCCUCAGCCUCCCAAAGUGCUAGGAUUACAGGCUUGGGCCACCGCGCCUGACGGAGUUUCACUCUGUUGCUCAGGCCAGAGUGCAGUGGCACAAUCUCAGAUCACUGCAACCUCUGCCUCCCGGGUUCAAGCAAUUCUCCUGCCUCAGCCUCCCGAGUAGCUGGAAUUACAGGUGUCUCUAUGUUGUCUCCUAGAGUGGGUAGUCCUGCUUCUUUUACCCAGUUACUUUCCCGUUUUUGAAAUGUGGCUAUCACUUCUCUACACAUUACCUCCAUGAUUUGGAAUGGAAAAGGCCACUUUUCUUUUUGUUCUGCCUCUCAAAUUCAACACAGAGGAGCUCCUAGGAUUCCAGUUAUCCUGCUAACAUCUCCAGGAAGAAAGAAGCAACUCACAUGGGUCUUUUGCUGUUUGCUUAAUUAUAAAGACAUCAUUUUGCAAGCAGAAGGCUGAGUUUCAUUUGAAACAGGUGCUUAGGUGGUGGUAUUUGUGAAUACUUUUCAUUCCAAGCAAGAAGACUAAAGAAGUAGCAAGUAUGAAUGACUUCAGGGUUUAAAAAAAAUGUCUUCCAGUUUCAGCCACUACCAUGAUAAGCACAGUUGAGACUGCAGCAGUAAAUUCCAAAUAUGUGUUUCUAAUUUGACGUGAAAGAUACUAAAAAUUUAUAUUUGUAUAUUUAAAUCCUGGCUCAUCCUGUGACAUAGAUUUACUGAAUAGGAACAAAGGCCCAAUUUUAAACAAAAACCUAGGCCGGGUGUGGUGGCUCACACCUGUAAUCCCAACACUUUGGGAGGCCAAGGCAGGCAAAUCACCUGAGGUUGGGAGUUUGAGACCAGCCUGACCAACAUGGAGAAACCCCAUCUCUACUAAAAA